This 372-nucleotide ribosomal RNA is filed under the name Triticum aestivum (bread wheat). RNAcentral's name for it is "partial small subunit ribosomal RNA". Lineage: Eukaryota; Viridiplantae; Streptophyta; Magnoliopsida; Poales; Poaceae. The record is from RNAcentral.
AUGGACGACAUAGAGUUCUUCUUCGAGGAAUCUGCAUCAGGGUUGGUGACGCGUGUGUCCGGCAAAGUUUUCUUAAGUGGUCUAGUUGCGGGUGAGCAACUGACUGAAGGCGGCACAAGUGGAACAGAGGAUGCGGAGGAGGAGUUGAUUUCUUCUCUGCCCAUGGGUCGAGCUGGAGGCGGCAUGGAUUGUGAAGCCGGCGAAGGUGCUGGUAUGGGGGGCUGCGCAAUGUAUAAUCUUGGCGACGAAGGGGUGGGCGAUUCCUGCGAGAUAGGCGGUGCAAAUACAAUCCCUGAUGCCAUGGGCCAGGAUGCAGACGAAGAUGGCGUGGGAGUGUCAAACGCAAAACAAUCUUCUUGGACCAGGAGGUGA